This 1174-nucleotide long non-coding RNA is filed under the name Ananas comosus (pineapple). RNAcentral's name for it is "long non-coding RNA (ACOM_LNC033516)". The record is from RNAcentral. Lineage: Eukaryota; Viridiplantae; Streptophyta; Magnoliopsida; Poales; Bromeliaceae.
GUGCAUGUGUGUGCGCGCGCACGUUUGCGCGUGUAGUUGGACUAGAAUAUUAUCAAUAGCAAACGGUUCCGUUCCUACUUAUUUAUUUUCGAUGAUAGAGCUUUCAAAUCGACGAUUAAUAAUUUUGAAUAUAAUCUAAGCUAUUUGGAGUAUUUAGAAAUCAAAUUUUAUACUUUUUCAAUAGUGUUCUCUCACGCAUCAAGUGAAUCAAAAAAUAAACGGAUGAAAUAAAUAAGGUGUAGUCUAUUUCAACUAGUUUAAAAAAUUUUCUAACAAAAAUUUAACUGAUUUGGAUUCCUUUUUUUCCAUUAAAUGAGCAAACGGCUAGUAUCAAUCGUUAAAAUUAUAAAUUUUGCGACCCUUUGAUCAUUAGGUCAAUGAUGUUGAAAAUGUGGAAAAUUUGGUAUCUAGAUACAUUAAAUUGUUUAGAUCAUGCCGAUUGUCGAUUUGAAAACUCUAUCACCGAAAAUAAAUUAAUAGCAACAGAGACCGAUAGCAUUCCAACUCAACGUUCUCUCCUUCCCUCCCCCACCCCCUCUCUCUCUCUCUCUCUCUCAAUUCUCUCUAUCAAUUUAUAAAUAUCUAUAUUACUUAUAAAAGAGGGAGUUUUAAAAUUUUUCUUUCCCAAAAUGCCGGUCCCUAUUAAUAUAAUUCCAAUUAUAUACUAGCAAUAUUAUUCAUUCAACUUUAAUGAAAUAAAUUAUAGUCGUAUAAUUUUUAUUUUAUUUUUGAAUUAUCAUAAAAUAUAUUAAUUCUUAGUGAUUGGAUCUAAUCGACGAAUUAAUUAUUUGUCACAUUUUUUACCUAAAUUAUUCUCAAAUAGUGUGUAUCAAAUUUUACAUUUUAUAUGCAUAUCCUAUCUUCUAAUAAUUAACCACCGCCCACAUAAUAUCAUAUUUUAUUACAAAUAAUAUUCGCAAUCUAUGGUUUCUUAAAUAUUUUUUUUUCUUAUACGUAAUACCUGCCACCUACAUAAUAUCCAAUGACGUAAUGCCUUCCGCAUAUAUAAUAUUUAAUCAUACUUUUCGAAAGGUAAAAAUAUAUAAAUUAUCUCAAUUUUUUUAAAAUAUGAGAUAUUUUUUAAUAAAAUAUAACAUAUGAAUUUACAAUUCAAAAUUUUAAAUUUGUAGAUAAAUGUGAUUCACAAAUUUAUAUUGAUUUGAGAUAAUUAUUA